This 801-nucleotide long non-coding RNA is filed under the name Homo sapiens (human). RNAcentral's name for it is "HSALNT0022531". The record is from RNAcentral. Lineage: Eukaryota; Metazoa; Chordata; Mammalia; Primates; Hominidae.
GUUCUUUGAGACAGGGUCUUGCUCUGUCACCAGGCUGGACUGUAGUGGCAUAAUCAUGCCUUGCCGCAGCCUUGACCUCCCAGGCUCAAACUUCAGCAUUCCGAGUAGCUGGGACUACAGGUGUGCACCACCACUCCCAGCUAACUUUUUUCUUUUUUUUGGAUAGAGACAGGGUCUCACUGUGUUGUCCAGACCGUCUCUAGCUCCUGGCCUUAAGCAAUCCUCCUGCAUUAGCUUCUCAAAUUGCUGGAAUUUCAGGCAUGAGCCACCAUGCCUGGCCUGGGCUAGUCCUGUAUUCUCUAGAGUUCUCUUUACUUUGUGCUAGCCAAUCUCUCAUUAUGCUGUUCACCUGUUAUAAUGAAUAAUUCUCCGUAUUAAAUUUUACCACUUUAAACUUUUGAGUGGUUUAUGCUUCCUGAUUGGACUCUGACUAAUAUGUUAGGAAGGGUCCCAGGAGAUAAACCCACACAGAUGGGAUUUGGGCAUAGGUUUGGUUUCCCAGGGGGCAGUGCUGAGCUCUUUGCCAGUGGGAAAUGGGAUGCUGGUGAUUUCCAGGAAGCGACCUCACAAUGACUCAAGCUACCACUUACUGUUGAUUGUGACGAAAUGCCAGCUGAGGCACAUGCCUUGGGAGCUAAGUGGUUGCUGCCCUUGACCACUAUGAAGACUGGUGUGGGAAGGGUCGCUUUGGAUGCACUUGAGCAGGGGUCCCCAACCCCUGAGCCAUGGAGCUGUAAGGAGCCACACGGCAGGAGGUGGGACCAUCCAGUUGCAGGAAAACAAGCUUAACAUGCCCACUGA